This 596-nucleotide ribosomal RNA is filed under the name uncultured bacterium. Its description in RNAcentral is "bacterial SSU rRNA". It matches the Rfam family "Bacterial small subunit ribosomal RNA", at positions 338 to 873 of the family's 1533-position model. The record is from RNAcentral.
CCUACGGGAGGCAGCAGUGGGGAAUUUUGGACAAUGGGCGAAAGCCUGAUCCAGCAAUGCCGCGUGCAGGAAGAAGGCCUUCGGGUUGUAAACUGCUUUUGUACGGAACGAAACGGUGCUCUUUAAUAAAGAGUGCUAAUGACGGUACCGUAAGAAUAAGCACCGGCUAACUACGUGCCAGCAGCCGCGGUAAUACGUAGGGUGCGAGCGUUAAUCGGAAUUACUGGGCGUAAAGCGUGCGCAGGCGGUUAUAUAAGACAGUUGUGAAAUCCCUGGGCUCAACCUAGGAAUUGCAUCUGUGACUGUAUAGCUAGAGUACGGUAGAGGGGGAUGGAAUUCCGCGUGUAGCAGUGAAAUGCGUAGAUAUGCGGAGGAACACCGAUGGCGAAGGCAAUCCCCUGGACCUGUACUGACGCUCAUGCACGAAAGCGUGGGGAGCAAACAGGAUUAGAUACCCUGGUAGUCCACGACCUAACGAUGUCACUAGUGUUGGUGNNUAUACUCAGUAGAGACACGCGNGAGUAGACGCGNGGNGACGCGCGAGUAGAGACGAAGAGUAGACGCGNGAGAGAGAGAGACGACGACGAGGGAGGAGG